AUACUACAAGGUGGAUGCCCUGGCAGUCAGAGGCGAUGAAGGACGUGCUAAUCUGCGAUAAGCGUCGGUAAGGUGAUAUGAACCGUUAUAACCGGCGAUUUCCGAAUGGGGAAACCCAGUGUGUUUCGACACACUAUCAUUAACUGAAUCCAUAGGUUAAUGAGGCGAACCGGGGGAACUGAAACAUCUAAGUACCCCGAGGAAAAGAAAUCAACCGAGAUUCCCCCAGUAGCGGCGAGCGAACGGGGAGCAGCCCAGAGCCUGAAUCAGUGUGUGUGUUAGUGGAAGCGUCUGGAAAGGCGCGCGAUACAGGGUGACAGCCCCGUACACAAAAAUGCACAUGCUGUGAGCUCGAUGAGUAGGGCGGGACACGUGGUAUCCUGUCUGAAUAUGGGGGGACCAUCCUCCAAGGCUAAAUACUCCUGACUGACCGAUAGUGAACCAGUACCGUGAGGGAAAGGCGAAAAGAACCCCGGCGAGGGGAGUGAAAAAGAACCUGAAACCGUGUACGUACAAGCAGUGGGAGCCUCUUUUAUGGGGUGACUGCGUACCUUUUGUAUAAUGGGUCAGCGACUUAUAUUCUGUAGCAAGGUUAACCGAAUAGGGGAGCCGAAGGGAAACCGAGUCUUAACUGGGCGUUAAGUUGCAGGGUAUAGACCCGAAACCCGGUGAUCUAGCCAUGGGCAGGUUGAAGGUUGGGUAACACUAACUGGAGGACCGAACCGACUAAUGUUGAAAAAUUAGCGGAUGACUUGUGGCUGGGGGUGAAAGGCCAAUCAAACCGGGAGAUAGCUGGUUCUCCCCGAAAGCUAUUUAGGUAGCGCCUCGUGAAUUCAUCUCCGGGGGUAGAGCACUGUUUCGGCAAGGGGGUCAUCCCGACUUACCAACCCGAUGCAAACUGCGAAUACCGGAGAAUGUUAUCACGGGAGACACACGGCGGGUGCUAACGUCCGUCGUGAAGAGGGAAACAACCCAGACCGCCAGCUAAGGUCCCAAAGUCAUGGUUAAGUGGGAAACGAUGUGGGAAGGCCCAGACAGCCAGGAUGUUGGCUUAGAAGCAGCCAUCAUUUAAAGAAAGCGUAAUAGCUCACUGGUCGAGUCGGCCUGCGCGGAAGAUGUAACGGGGCUAAACCAUGCACCGAAGCUGCGGCAGCGACGCUUAUGCGUUGUUGGGUAGGGGAGCGUUCUGUAAGCCUGCGAAGGUGUGCUGUGAGGCAUGCUGGAGGUAUCAGAAGUGCGAAUGCUGACAUAAGUAACGAUAAAGCGGGUGAAAAGCCCGCUCGCCGGAAGACCAAGGGUUCCUGUCCAACGUUAAUCGGGGCAGGGUGAGUCGACCCCUAAGGCGAGGCCGAAAGGCGUAGUCGAUGGGAAACAGGUUAAUAUUCCUGUACUUGGUGUUACUGCGAAGGGGGGACGGAGAAGGCUAUGUUGGCCGGGCGACGGUUGUCCCGGUUUAAGCGUGUAGGCUGGUUUUCCAGGCAAAUCCGGAAAAUCAAGGCUGAGGCGUGAUGACGAGGCACUACGGUGCUGAAGCAACAAAUGCCCUGCUUCCAGGAAAAGCCUCUAAGCAUCAGGUAACAUCAAAUCGUACCCCAAACCGACACAGGUGGUCAGGUAGAGAAUACCAAGGCGCUUGAGAGAACUCGGGUGAAGGAACUAGGCAAAAUGGUGCCGUAACUUCGGGAGAAGGCACGCUGAUAUGUAGGUGAAGUCCCUCGCGGAUGGAGCUGAAAUCAGUCGAAGAUACCAGCUGGCUGCAACUGUUUAUUAAAAACACAGCACUGUGCAAACACGAAAGUGGACGUAUACGGUGUGACGCCUGCCCGGUGCCGGAAGGUUAAUUGAUGGGGUUAGCGGUAACGCGAAGCUCUUGAUCGAAGCCCCGGUAAACGGCGGCCGUAACUAUAACGGUCCUAAGGUAGCGAAAUUCCUUGUCGGGUAA
This 1942-nucleotide ribosomal RNA is filed under the name Streptococcus pneumoniae. RNAcentral's name for it is "partial 23S ribosomal RNA". It matches the Rfam family "Bacterial large subunit ribosomal RNA", at positions 1 to 1979 of the family's 2925-position model. Lineage: Bacteria; Bacillati; Bacillota; Bacilli; Lactobacillales; Streptococcaceae. The record is from RNAcentral.